GGAGGACAGGAAGGCCUGGAGGAGUGUUGUCCAUGGGGUCGCGAUGGGUCGGACACGACUUUGCGACUAACAACUACAACAACAAAUGGGAGACAGCCUUGACUGGAAAGUAGAGCAUGCAUGCAUGCAUGCAUUCAUUCAAUAAUUUAUUUGCAUCCCUGGGAAAUUACCUAUACUGUGUCCAAGACUGAACCAGCCCUGCCAUUAAAGGGCAGGGAGUAACCAAUUUUCAACAGUUAUUACCCAACAAAUGAUAACUGUCCAACAGUUAUUAUCCAUUUGGAUUUUCUACCUCAGGUCUCAAAUUUCUAAGAUUAUCUCCAGCUUCACCCAAUUUCUUAGAUUAUCUCUGCCUCCCAUCAUUUUAGAAACCAAGACAUUUCAGCACCUGAACACAAUGCAUAUAAUUAAUUCCGUUGCCAACUUUCCACCUUCUGUUAUGAACAAGAUUAUGCAUAUUUUCAAUAUUGGGUACACAAAAAGGACCAAAUAAAAUUAAAAAGUUUCACUAAAAAAUUUUCAUUCAAGACUGUAGAUAUACUUACCUUCUCCGGUAACAUUUUAAACAGAGAGAGGACUUCAGAAGAGUGAGGAAUGAACCACAGGUUCAGAAAGGAUUGUCCAUCAGCAGACAGCAAGCAAUGGGGUCGUGGCUGGAAUGAUCUGAGUGGUUAUAGAAGGAAGCUGGAUUACUUGUCCAAUUGUGCAACAGAGGCCUGGGGCACCCAAGAGUCUCAUGAAAUGUUUAUUUGCAGGCUGUGUUGCCACGUUGUGAGAAGUCUCCCAUUUACUGAAAUAUCCACAAGGCUCUGGCUUACCUAUCCACACUGUUGUCCUUGUGCUCAGAGAGAAGAGAAGUAAUGAAUAUCGGUGUCUUGCAUUAUGGGAUGACUGAAACUAAAGACUAAAACAGGAAAGCUGUUUCACAAGUCCAAAGGUCGAGCAGUACUGCAGAUCGAUCUGCUGACGCAUGUGCCCACUCAGAGAAGCCCUGACAGCGGGGCUCACUGCACACCUUGUAGCCUCAGAAGGAAAAAGCACAACAGACAAUUUCACAAAAACCACCAGGCUAAGAAACCACAAACAAUUUAAGUUAACGAUGCUGAUUCAAAAGAUGAAAAUGAAUCCUGUCCCCACUUCCAUACCUCUGCAUAUUCAUUUGGUAAAAGAAUUCACACAACAUAAAUCAGCAGUCUACAUACACAUAAAGGUUUCAGAGGCCACCAAAUUCAGUUGGGCACUAUUAGAGUUCUCACAUAAUCUAACUGUUGUGAACCUACACCUGGAGUUCCCAGCUGGCAUCUGAAGACAUCACGUAAUCCUGAGGCACCUCCCUCAGCAUUCACUAACCUUGCCACAGAAAGGAGUGAUGCCCACCAAAAUGGAUGGCUUUAAAAGGGGAGUGGAUAGAUUCAUGGAAGAGGAGGCUAUCAGUGAGUGGCUGGCUGGCUAUGUGCUACCUCCUUUACCAGAGGUGGUGCGUAUGCCUUACCAGUUGCUGAGGAGCUUGGGCAGAGGGAGGUCUGUCACCCAUCCUGUUGGAGGGAUCCUGUGGUAAAGCUGUUUUGCCACCGUGGGGACAGAGCGCUAGACUAGAUGGACUAUUGGUCUGAUCCAGUAUGGCUUUUCUCAUUAAUUCAUAAUAGAGAAAUAUGAGUCAUUCCACUAGUGUAAAUGAUGUUGUGCUGGUGGAAACUACAUUCUAAAUUAUGUGCAAGAGCACAAUUCAGCUAAAAUUACAUUUGCACAUGCAGAACAUUCAGCAGACUUCUGCUAAUGCUGAAUGAGUUGAAAGAAUGACCUAAGAAAAGGAAGAAGAGUUGUGCCAGAUCUGAACAAGAGUCCACCUACUCCUCGCAGCAUCCUGUUCUCACAGUGGCCAACCAGUUGCCCAUGGGAGACCCUCAAGCAGAACAUGAGAGUAAUAGCACCUUUCCACCCAUGUUCCACAGCACUUAUGUUCCAUAGCAACUGUAGCAUAGUACUAGAAGAAAUUGAUAGCCUUCUCU
Varanus komodoensis (Komodo dragon) is the source of this 2009-nucleotide long non-coding RNA. RefSeq lists it as uncharacterized. Lineage: Eukaryota; Metazoa; Chordata; Lepidosauria; Squamata; Varanidae. The record is from RefSeq and is a predicted model, not a curated record. The transcript is spliced from 4 exons.